Molecule: unclassified non-coding RNA, 586 nt
Filed under: Penicillium brevicompactum
Lineage: Eukaryota; Fungi; Ascomycota; Eurotiomycetes; Eurotiales; Aspergillaceae
Description: sequence contains 18S rRNA gene, ITS1, 5.8S rRNA gene, ITS2, 28S rRNA gene
Rfam family: 5.8S ribosomal RNA (bases 218-371)
Source: RNAcentral
UCGUAACAAGGUUUCCGUAGGUGAACCUGCGGAAGGAUCAUUACCGAGUGAGGGCCCUCUGGGUCCAACCUCCCACCCGUGUUUAUUUUACCUUGUUGCUUCGGCGAGCCUGCCUUUUGGCUGCCGGGGGACGUCUGUCCCCGGGUCCGCGCUCGCCGAAGACACCUUAGAACUCUGUCUGAAGAUUGUAGUCUGAGAUUAAAUAUAAAUUAUUUAAAACUUUCAACAACGGAUCUCUUGGUUCCGGCAUCGAUGAAGAACGCAGCGAAAUGCGAUACGUAAUGUGAAUUGCAGAAUUCAGUGAAUCAUCGAGUCUUUGAACGCACAUUGCGCCCUCUGGUAUUCCGGAGGGCAUGCCUGUCCGAGCGUCAUUGCUGCCCUCAAGCACGGCUUGUGUGUUGGGCUCCGUCCUCCUUCCGGGGGACGGGCCCGAAAGGCAGCGGCGGCACCGCGUCCGGUCCUCAAGCGUAUGGGGCUUUGUCACCCGCUUUGUAGGACUGGCCGGCGCCUGCCGAUCAACCAAACUUUUUUCCAGGUUGACCUCGGAUCAGGUAGGGAUACCCGCUGAACUUAAGCAUAUCAAUAA